This 157-nucleotide non-coding RNA is filed under the name Hyphomicrobiales bacterium. RNAcentral's name for it is "6S RNA". It matches the Rfam family "6S / SsrS RNA". From Rfam's summary of the family: E. coli 6S RNA was the first non coding RNA to be sequenced, but its function was unknown until recently. It consists of 184 nucleotides that fold into an extended hairpin structure with a large single-stranded internal bulge. The record is from RNAcentral. Lineage: Bacteria; Pseudomonadati; Pseudomonadota; Alphaproteobacteria; Hyphomicrobiales. RNAcentral also lists the same sequence under 1 other name.
UAAAUGCUAUGUGGUUUGUGAGAUAAACUAUACCUAGGGCCUUAAUGAUUCUUAAGGGAGCUGACGCUGAUUAGAACCGUGGUUUUUUUCAUUUGGCACCCACCUAUACUAAUAGGGAACCCGGGAUUGUCGAUAUCCACGGCCAUGUGGCAUCAAU